This 60-nucleotide ribosomal RNA is filed under the name uncultured organism. Its description in RNAcentral is "partial 16S ribosomal RNA". The record is from RNAcentral.
AGGUCUUGACAUCCUUUGACCACCUAAGAGAUUAGGCUUUCCCUUCGGGGACAAAGUGAC